This is a long non-coding RNA of Amphiprion ocellaris (clown anemonefish), 1271 nucleotides long. Lineage: Eukaryota; Metazoa; Chordata; Actinopteri; Pomacentridae. The record is from Ensembl.
UAUGAACAGAACAUUGUAUACAGCAUGGUGAAAUGUGAUUGGUUAUAGAACACAAACAGAAAAUUCAAAUAUUGAACAGUGAUUGGCUAAAGGUGGGAAUAAACCGUGUAGAUUUAGUUCUCCCAUCAGUUGGUCCACAGAUAUGUCCAUAUCUCUUGGCACAGGAUUCAUCCAAUAUCCAGGAACCAUCCUGUAAAACGAACCUCCUGGAACCCUCUUCCCUCUCUCUACCUGUCAAUCUUGAUCCUUUGUUAGCUGUGAUGUGAUGCAGCUACUGGUGGUGUCUCAUAGGAAGGAGGAUAAUUAUGGUUUCCAUCCUUAAACAACCUUGAGUUUAGCAGUUUCAGUGUAAUUAAUCUUUUUCCUUAUAAGGAAAUAGGAGCCAAUCGGAGGUGGUGGUCUUUGAACUGAAAUCACUUUGGACUGGUGUGUGUGUGUGUGUGUGUGUGUGUGUGUGUGUGUGUGUGUGUGUGUGUGUGUGUGUGUGUGUGUGUGUGUGUAAUCACUCUUUGUCCUGGUGUGUGUGUGUCCUGACCUGUCUGCAUCCAUCAUGUAUUUAACCCUUCAGAACCUGGGUUAAUGCUCUCCCUCUAUUCAAGUCAACACAAUAAAUUACACAAUAAAUGUUAUUAAUAUCAAUAUUGUGAUACAUGUGACAUCAGUUUCAGUGUUCAGCUGGCAGUGCCUUAAAAAAUAAACUCUAACAUCGUUUGUUUAUCUAUUUUCUAGUUGCUUUAUAGUUUAGCAGCACUUCAGUUUCCUGUAGCUUCGCUUCUGUGAGUUCAGCAUUUUCACUUAAUUCCUGGAUUUGCUUGUGUUGUAAUAAAGUCUUUAAACCGAACUCUGACUCUCGCGUUCUUGUUGCCCUGCGUGUGAGAAAAUUUAGAAUCCGACUUCCUAGAAAUAUAUAAAAGCCGACAAUGCCAGCGAUGUUCAAAAGAGCCUAGGACUCAGUUACAAAGCUAUGCAGCCUCUUUUGGAUCAGGGGUGAGCAGGGUUAAAAAAAAUCAAACUCACAACAAAGCUGAACACUUCAUUUUACCAAAAAGAAAACUGGGAACCCCAGCUCCAAGUCUCUCGGUGCUUCUGUCCGUCUUCCACGAAGCCUCCAAGGCUGCAGACAGGAAUCCUUUCAAAAAGGGUCACAACAAGGGGGCAGUCAGUCCACUGUUGAGGAGAGCUUCUAUAGGAGACACUCUGCCGAUCAGCCUGAUAGCACUCGUAAAAGCAGCCCAUCAACACGUUCAGAAACAGCCCGAUCCCGAACCUAA